This is a non-coding RNA of Daucus carota subsp. sativus, 115 nucleotides long. Lineage: Eukaryota; Viridiplantae; Streptophyta; Magnoliopsida; Apiales; Apiaceae. The record is from Rfam.
GCCGGUGAUGAUAUAAUCCACUGGAAUGAGGUGUGGUGGAAGCAGGACCCUGUUUACAGGGAGAACCACCUGCUGAAACCACAUUUCAAAUGAUAUUACUGGAUUUUACUGAGGC